CACCUUGUGCAUCCCUGAGAGCGCUGUCCAAACACUCCUGGAGCUCUGGAAGCCUUGGGGCCAUGACCAUUCCUGGGAGCCUGUUCAGUGCCCAGCACCCUCUGGGGGAAGGACCUUUCCCUGAUGUCCAGUCUGACCCUCCCCUGACACAGUUCCAGCCUAUCCCUGGUCCCAGAGAAGCAGAGAUUGGAGUUGCCCUUCAGGAGGAAGCUGCAGACUGCAGUGAGGUCCCCCCAGUCCUAUUUUCUCCAUCUGAACUGACCAAGUCACUGACCAAGUGAUUCAGCCACUCCUCAUAUGGCCCCUCCAGAUCCUUCACCAUUCUCAUGUCCCUACUUUAAGAUCUUUAGGGCUUUCUUAUUGUGGUGGCCAAAACUGCCCAGCCCUAAGAACAGCACACUAAUCUUGAAUGACAGGAAUAUUAACAAAACAUUUUAAAGCUAUAUUGGCAUUUCUCUGAUCCAUGUGACUCAUGGAUGGUUAUCCAUGAAGGAAUCCAGGUAUUAGCUUCCAUUACAAAAACUGGGAGAUGAGAGCCUGGGAAGAUGUCUGUUAGGAUCUGGGAUUCAGUGAUGUGCAUGCUCAGAUUUUGCCAAAAAAUCAGCACCAGCACUGCUUAACAAAGCAAGACAAAGGUAUCAAAAAACCUAGGCCAAAAUAUCCACUUGGUUUUCAAAGAAAUCUGUGUUCCUAAGUCACAUAGACACUUUCAAUUGUUCUACAAUAAAAAGUAAUGAGCACCAGUCACACUAAGAAUUUGAUGGUAUAAAGACUUGUUUGGUUGUGGGACACUGUUCAUGCCUAGUCUCCAACACAAAUCAAAACCCAACAAGGAACCAGGUUAAAAGACAGUUGUAGAUGAGUUCCCUGAUGUGUCUUAUGUUCACCUUCCAGAGGUUUGUGUUCUGGGGUUUCCCUGUCCAGCUUGCUUAUACAAAUGUAAACAAAAAUAUUUCCAUCCUCAAGGAGCCCAAGUGAGAUUUUAUAAAGCAAAGUGUGCUAAGGAGGUUUCUCAAUCAGUGGAAAGGGAGCAGCUGUUUACACAUAAAUAUCUAGUGUUAAUUAACAUUUGGAAGAGAGUGAGAAACACUUGAUGCACUUUGAAAUAACACAAAUAAAAACUACCACUCUUAGAUGGUUCUUAAAGUAAACAUCUAAACUGAAAAUUAAAUUGUUCCUGAUACGGUAAAUAGGCAUUUCGCUAUUGUGAAAAAAGAUAGUUUUACCCUUCCUUUACACAGUAAGACAAGUCCUUUGAAUAUCUCACUUUUGGUGACAAAAACGACUCACUUGUGAUGAAAUUAUUAAAACACACUUCACAGUGCUCCGGGAUCUGGGAGGUUUCAGUCCAGUCUCAGACUUUACAGUCCUUCCUGAGCAGAUUACUCCCAUGUGGAAGCAUACAUUCUUCUCUCUAGCUUCAGGCUGGAUUUGGUACUGUGUUUCUCACAUCUGGUAAAAAACUACCCUGCAAACUUGACAAAUGAUAAUGUAGCAGUGACUAUCUGAAAAUCAGAUGGGGAAUCCCACAGGUCCUAGUUUUAUUUAGGCUUGGCUUGCUGGCUCAUUCCAGUGACCUCUGCUGAGGUUUGGCAUAGGAUACUCAUGGUUGCAACAUACUUCUUUUCUCCUUUUUAUUCAACCAUUUUCUCCAAAGUUUCAACAUGGCCACAACUUUGGUUGUAUUUUCUUUUUCUCUCCUCUUUUUUGCUUUUUACCGUGGGUAGAAUAAAAUGAUUGAUGGCCCAGAAUUCAAUGAUUUAUCUUUUAUUCCUGCAUCUUAGGAAAACUUAAGAGUCUGAGUUUGGAAAUUCAAAUGGACAAAUAUGUUUUCAUUUCAUUCCCCUUUGCAAUUCAUCUUUUCCAAAACUUACUAUGUUUUAACUGCAGCACAAAGAAACCUUAUAAAAAUUUACAUCCAUCAUGUUAUACUAGCUGGCAGAAAAAAGAAAAAAUUAUUCACAAUUUUUUUUCAAAACUUGAGCAGAAUUAUUAUUAGGAAAGUCUUCCUCAGAAAACUUCCACACUUGUAAGUUUUUUCCCACUAGAGCAAAGAAUAAAAGAUGUUACUGUCUAGAAUAUGAUAGCAUAUCCCUAGCUCCAGCUCCUCCCAAAUUUCCAGUGGAGGAGCUACAUCUCCAUUGGUUUGGGUGAGUGUGUGGGUAAACACCCCAAACCAGCCAUCACUCACAUACAGCUGUGAAAGGCCCACGAUAUUGGUGGAGCCUUCCCUGACCCAGAGCCACAUCAGCAGCUGGGACACAGGAGUGGCUUGGCCACAGGUGAGCCCAGCCAGGUGUGGUGUUUGGUUUCCCCAGGUGAUGCCAGGUGGAGGCAAACCUGGACACGCAUGACAUGAGCAAGGGCCAGGCCUUGCUCCCACCUGCAGUGCGUGGCACACCCCACAGAGCAUUCCCACCAAAGAUGGUAGGUGUGCUUCUCCCCAAAGUAUAUUUAAAGUAGUUUGAUCACUGUUCAGGUCUGGAGACAUCAGAACCCUUUAUUUUUGAGGCAGGUGUGCUCACCUCAGCUGGAGGGCAGAUGGGCUCCAGUGGCAGGGGCCAGGCUGUGGCUGCCUUCCCAGCCUUUCCUCCACUUCUCCCGUCUAAGGCCUCUCCAAACUGAUUUACAGCUCCCUCCGAGUGCCUGGGAUGGAAUUAGAGCGCCUUUUAUUACACGGUGCCUUCGCUGUUAUUCUUGCUGCACGGCACAGAUUUAUGAUGGCUUUUAAACCAGGCAGCACAUAAAGAAAUAUGAUCUUAACAAAAUAUAGAAGGGACCAAAGGAGGUCAAAGUGUGGGAGCUGAACACUACAUGGUGAUCCAGGAUUUCCUUUUAUUUACUGCUCACACCUUUUCAGUCUCAAGUGGAUUUGGGCUGUCUCAGGCAGCCCUACCCCAUGUAAUCCUCUGGGGCCAGAGACUUUGCCAUCAGCGGAUGUCUUUCAUUACAAUUUAGCACAUGUAGGAAAUCCCAAAAUGCCACUGGUGAAUUACAUGAAUUUUAGACACAGGGUGCCAGGAAGGCACACAGCAUCAGGGUAGGCAGGAACCCCACAUUCAUCUGGGCAGGCUUUCUGUCUCUUGACACCUCCUGCUGUGGCAGCAGCUGAGGGUUUUCCAGGUUAGUGGUGUCCUGCAGAGCUCCUCUGUUUUCAGUGCUGGAGGAGAAUCAUUUAUGAGAGUCCUUCAUGGAGGCAUGGAGCAAAAGCUGUGCUCAUUUCCAUGGCUAGGACUAUGGGACAAGGAAAGUAAUACUGUAAGCCAUUCUACUUUAUAGCUUUAUUUACAGAUACUCAUCAAUUAUUCCUAAACUGUGGCAUAUAAGAAAAAUAGGAGGCCUUGCACUUAGCCUGCAGAUGGAUAAUGUGAGAUCUGCAGCAGGUGCAAGGUGUCUUGAGCACAAGGGCAGAGCUGCAGGGAGUCACCUGCAGGACCAUGGUCUGCCUUAAACACUGCCUCAAACUGCAAAGUGAAGCAGCUGGCAAGGGGGAGGGAAGCUGUAAUUACAGCCAACAACUGACUCCUCAGCCAAUGACUACUACUGAGAGCCUGCUCUUGAGCCAGAAGCAAAGAACAGAAGUCUUUUCUCUCUUGGGUGAGGGCUGUAAUCCCCUACAGCUAUAGUAUCAUUCUCUACAUUAAUAAAACAAGGUCUGGUGUGCUCCCUUUCAUUAAGAUUUAUUAUCAUUAUUUCUCCAUCUGAGGGAAGGAAUUUAUCUCUCUUCUUGCCUAGGGCUGUAGCAAGGUUCCCAUGGUGUGGGGGUUUUGUUUGGUUUAUUCAGAGGGGAUGCUUGUGGUUCACCUGCUGUUCUAAGUUUCCAGAGCAACAUCCUCUCCAGUUCUCCAGCUGCUUGCUGCUCACAUUGUAAGCCCUUUCUAGAGCAAGUCGGUCCUCAUCUGUUCUUUGGGAACUUCACAGACCACAAGCCCACAUCUGAAGCACUUGUUUUUUUAGAAGCCUGGACUCUUGUGAGAUGUAAGGCAAGACAUCAGCACUGACAGUCACCACAAAACUGCCUCCUCUCAACCAAUUUCACAGGUGCAGUUCCUCAGAGCCUGGGCUUUGCCUGAGAAGUUCUCAGCUAUGUGUGUUCUCCUGAUUCCAGGUCUCCUCCAAAGUGGCAUCCCACAAAGGAGGUGACUUGGACUGAGAAGUGAAGUGGGGAAUAAUCUCAGUCUGUCUGUCUGUGUCUCUGUGUGUGUGUCCAUCCCACUUUGGCCAGGGACAAGCUUCCAGCUGAAAGCAGCCUGAGUUGACAGCAGACUUUGCUAUGGGUAAUCACAUGGUUUGCUAAUUAGUAAUUUUUGCAUUUUUUUUUCCUACCAAGUGUGUCACCAAGGUUUCCUCUUCCUUGGUGACACACCUGGCUCAUGCAAGAGCCAUGAAGAGGUUCCUCAGAUGCUACUUCUCCUGUCAGGAACCUCCUACUUGUGCACUCAAUCUGUGUAGCCAAUUAUAACCAUUCCAGUGGGCCACAAAACCCGUAUUUUAUGAUAGAGUGAAAAUAUGAAGUCACAGCCUAAACUAUGUUGCACUUCUUGCUGGGCCGUGUAAUGUGUAUUUAAAUGAAGAAAGGUGAAAACACUGCACCAGCAUAGAAAUUUGUCUGUAGAACGUGGAUCAUCUUGUGUGCUUCUCUACCAAGGCUUCAGCAAGCUUAAGGGCACUGUGGUGGUUUCACACGGAUUGAUAUUUGGGGAAAGAAGUAAGAAACACCCAUGGAAGUGAUUUCUUUGAGGGAAGCUGCUGGGAGCUUCCUCUGUGCCUAGGACAGGCCAAUGCCUGGCUGGUUCUGAGAACUGACAACAUUUUGCACCAUUUAAAAAUUAGGUCCACUUCUGUGAAUUCCACGUUUUAAAAACCACAAACCCGGGAACUUUUUUCUCUUGGUUUCCGGCCUCAGAAGGGAACGGAGCCCUGGUGGGGCCAGCCCUGCUCCCCCUGUGCGGGGGAGGCUGGGCCGGACUCCAGCGGCUCCCGGGUGGGGACGGAGGCUGUGGGGCCCUGGCCCCAGGCUGGGCCGGGCCACGGCUGCUGACAUCUCACCGACACCAAACCCCUGCUCCAGGCCACGGCUGCUGACAUCUCACCGACACCAAACCCCUGCCCCCGGCCCGCACAGACUGCUCCAGGCCGAGCCAGAACUACCCUCCCCUCCAGCGGCUGCCGGGCCGAGGGAGGCACCAGCGCGGGCUGAAAUCCAACACCGUGACUGCUGCGGCCACUGGGCGAGAUACUAACCCUUUCAAUACACAGAUGAGACCUGCAGGCCUUGUUCCUCUCUCCAGGGAGAGAAAAGGAGUGACGACACGUAGGAAGACAACAUGAAGACACCAAGGUCAGUUAAGAAGGAGUCAAGCCUCAGAUGGAAGAAGGAUGAGGAGAUGCUGAAUGGGGCUGGAAGCUCUUUUGGUAGGGCUGUGGAGAUGGACAGUUAUAUACCGAAAUAUCCCCUUUAAUUCAUGAAAGAGUAUGGGGAGAUGGAAUAUUCAAACUGUAGAUGUGAGCAGAGGCAUCC
Non-coding RNA from Cyanistes caeruleus (blue tit), 5521 nucleotides. NCBI's taxonomy places the organism in Eukaryota, Metazoa, Chordata, Aves, Passeriformes, Paridae. The record is from RefSeq and is a predicted model, not a curated record.